This 722-nucleotide long non-coding RNA is filed under the name Ananas comosus (pineapple). Its description in RNAcentral is "long non-coding RNA (ACOM_LNC040944)". The record is from RNAcentral. Lineage: Eukaryota; Viridiplantae; Streptophyta; Magnoliopsida; Poales; Bromeliaceae.
UUCUUUAAGGCUAAAUUAUAUAAAAUCCUUGUCAAUACCCUUUUUUCACUUUUCUCCCUAUCAUUUUAAAACCUAAACUUUACCCCCUUAUAAAAUAAAAAAUAUUUAUAAGGGUACAAUGUGAACUGUGAUGACAAAAUGACUAAUUUGCCCCUCACCAUCUCAUCCGUCGCCUCUUCUCUUCCAUUUUUCGCGGCUCGAUCGGCCACAGUUCGUCUCUAUUCUCUUCUCCACCUGUUCCCCUUCUCCUCUUGCAUCCUCGUCGCCCCACUAUUUUGGCGACAGUACGGAGGAAAUUGAGGUAGGCGUGGAUGGAGAGGUAGGCAAGAGCAAGGGCGAGGGCGAAGGCUAGGUGGCGGAGGAGGGCGAGGGGGUGUUUGUGGGCGCGAACAAAAAUGUGGGCGAGGGCGAGGCAGCAAAGGAGGGCGAGGCAGCGAGGUGGAGGAGGGUGAGGCGGAGACUGAGGGUAAUUUUGGUAUAAAAAAAUAUAUAAUAAUAUUUAUAAACGAAACCCUAAUGAAGCAGUAACGACAGGAGGUGAAGUGAACAUUUUUUAUUUUACAAGAAGACAAAGUAUAGCUUUUUAAAUGACGGGAAAAAGUGAAAAAGCGAGUAUUGACAGAAAAAUUUUCUGUAAUUUACCCAUUUUUUAAUUUCAUCAGUCCAACAACAAUCCACACAACCUUCAAACAAAGUUAUAAUUGACAAAAUAACUAAACAAU